AGCAGCCGCGGUAAUUCCAGCUCCAAUAGCGUAUAUUAAAGUUGUUGCAGUUAAAAAGCUCGUAGUUGAAUUUCGGGGUCAGUAGGUUGGUCAUGCCUUCGGUAUGUACUGGUCUCACUGAUUCCUCCCUCUUGAAGAACUGUAAUGUCAUUAAUUUGGUGUUGCGGGGAAACAGGAUUGUUACUUUGAAAAAUUAGAGUGUUUAAAGCAGGCUCACGCUUGAAUACAUUAGCAUGGAAUAAUGAAAUAGGACGUUCGAUCCUAUUUUGUUGGUUUCUAGGAUUGACGUAAUGAUUAAUAGGGAUAGUUGGGGGCAUUAGUAUUCAAUUGUCAGAGGUGAAAUUCUUGGAUUUAUUGAAGACUAACUACUGCGAAAGCAUUUGCCAAGGAUGUUUUCAUUAAUCAAGAACGAAAGUUAGGGGAUCGAAGACGAUCAGAUACCGUCGUAGUCUUAACCAUAAACUAUGCCGACUAGGGAUCGGAUGAUGUUAAUUUUUAAUGACUCAUUCGGCGCCUUAAC
RNAcentral lists this ribosomal RNA (520 nucleotides) under uncultured Glomus. RNAcentral describes it as "SSU rRNA". It matches the Rfam family "Eukaryotic small subunit ribosomal RNA", at positions 569 to 1092 of the family's 1831-position model. The record is from RNAcentral. Lineage: Eukaryota; Fungi; Glomeromycota; Glomeromycetes; Glomerales; Glomeraceae.